Long non-coding RNA from Cynoglossus semilaevis (tongue sole), 221 nucleotides. RefSeq lists it as uncharacterized. The record is from RefSeq and is a predicted model, not a curated record. Lineage: Eukaryota; Metazoa; Chordata; Actinopteri; Pleuronectiformes; Cynoglossidae. The transcript has 3 exons.
GGUAAACAAAACUCCGGCUGAAAAAAUGUGUUUCAUUUCGUAAAAAUCUGUUUUUAAAAGGGUGAAAUAGUCAAAACGUUUAUUAAAGAGUAAGCCGACAGGCCUGUGAGGAUGGUCCUUUACUGGAGGAGCAGGAGACGGAGGGUCAGCGGCAGCUGCACAGCCUCCUACUGCAGCAGCUCGACACAGAUGUGGACAUACAGAGAUGUUUAGCCAAAAGG